Molecule: long non-coding RNA, 1476 nt
Organism: Pygocentrus nattereri (red-bellied piranha)
Lineage: Eukaryota; Metazoa; Chordata; Actinopteri; Characiformes; Serrasalmidae
Source: Ensembl
CCCCUAAUCCUAACCCUGACCUUAAGUUCAACCGAGCACCUAACCCUCUCCCUGACCCUAAUCCUAACCCUGACCUUAAGUUCAACCCAACACCUAACCCUUUCCCUGACCCUAAUCCUAACCCUGACCUUAAGUUCAACCCAACACCUAACCCUCUCCCUGACCCUAAUCCUAACCCUGACCUUAAGUUCAACCCAACACCUAACCCUCUCCCUGACCCUAAUCCUAACCCUGACCUUAAAUUCAACCCAACCACCUAACCCUCUCCCUGACCCUAAUCCUAACCCUGACCUUAAAUUCAACCCAACACCUAACCCUCUCCCUGACCCUAAUCCUAACCCUGACCUUAAGUUCAACCCAGCACCUAACCCUCUCCCUGACCCUAAUCCUAACCCUGACCUUAAGUUCAACCCAACACCUAACCCUCUCCCUGACCCUAAUCCUAACCCUGACCUUAAGUUCAACCCAACACCUAACCCUCUCCCUGACCCUAAUCCUAACCCUGACCUUAAAUUCAACCCAACACCUAACCCUCUCCCUGACCCUAAUCCUAACCCUGACCUUAAAUUCAACCCAACACCUAACCCUCUCGCUGACCCUAAUCCUAACCCUGACCUUAAAUUCAACCCAACACCUAACCCUCUCCCUGACCCUAAUCCUAACCCUGACCUUAAGUUCAACCCAACACCUAACCCUCUCCCUGACCCUAAUCCUAACCCUGACCUUAAGUUCAACCCAACACCUAACCCUCUCCCUGACCCUAAUCCUAACCCUGACCUUAAAUUCAACCCAGCACCUAACCCUCUCCCUGACCCUAAUCCUAACCCUGACCUUAAGUUCAACCCAACACCUAACCCUCUCCCUGACCCUAAUCCUAACCCUGACCUUAAGUUCAACCCAGCACCUAACCCUCUCCCUGACCCUAAUCCUAACCCUGACCUUAAAUUCAACCCAACACCUAACCCUCUCCCUGACCCUAAUCCUAACCCUGACCUUAAGUUCAACCCAACACCUAACCCUCUCCCUGACCCUAAUCCUAACCCUGACCUUAAGUUCAACCCAGCACCUAACCCUCACCCUGACCCUAAUCCUAACCCUGACCUUAAGUUCAACCCAACACCUAACCCUCUCCCUGACCCUAAUCAUAACCCUGACCUUAAGUUCAACCCAACACCUAACCCUCUCCCUGACCCUAAUCCAAACCUGACCUUAAAUUCAACCCAACACCUAACCCUCUCCCUGACCCUAAUCCUAACCCUGACCUUAAGUUCAACCCAACCCCUAACCCUCUCCCUGACCCUAAUCCUAACCCUGACCUUAAGUUCAACCCAACCCCUAACCCUCACCCUGACCCUAAUCCUAGCCUUAACCUCAACCCAAAACCUAAUCCUCACAUUCACCCUGGCCCCAAUCAUAACCCUAAUCUUAACCUCAACCCAAAACCUAAUCCUCAUCCUGGCCCUCAUAUGUUUGUGA